AGUGAACGCUGGCGGUAGGCCUAACACAUGCAAGUCGAACGGCAGCACAGUAAGAGCUUGCUCUUACGGGUGGCGAGUGGCGGACGGGUGAGGAAUACAUCGGAAUCUACUUUUUCGUGGGGGAUAACGUAGGGAAACUUACGCUACUACCGCAUACGACCUACGGGUGAAAUCAGGGGAUCUUCGGACCUUGCGCGAUUGAAUGAGCCGAUGUCGGAUUAGCUAGUUGGCGGGGUAAAGGCCCACCAAGGCGACGAUCCGUAGCUGGUCUGAGAGGAUGAUCAGCCACACUGGAACUGAGACACGGUCCAGACUCCUACGGGAGGCAGCAGUGGGGAAUAUUGGACAAUGGGCGCAAGCCUGAUCCAGCCAUACCGCGUGGGUGAAGAAGGCCUUCGGGUUGUAAAGCCCUUUUGUUGGGAAAGAAAAGCAGCAGGUUAAUACCCCGCUGUUCUGACGGUACCCAAAGAAUAAGCACCGGCUAACUUCGUG
Molecule: ribosomal RNA, 492 nt
Filed under: uncultured bacterium
Lineage: Bacteria
Description: partial 16S ribosomal RNA
Rfam family: Bacterial small subunit ribosomal RNA
Source: RNAcentral